RNAcentral lists this long non-coding RNA (4198 nucleotides) under Prunus persica (peach). Its description in RNAcentral is "long non-coding RNA (PPER_LNC004152)". Lineage: Eukaryota; Viridiplantae; Streptophyta; Magnoliopsida; Rosales; Rosaceae. The record is from RNAcentral.
UGGACAUCACCUAAGGAGGCGCCAUGUGUACCUGUGAAGAAUUCAUAACCAAGUGUUUCUUCUGUUACAAUUGAUAGUUCAAAGUGCCGAAGGCUCACGCACUGCCGAUGGUGCUUUGAGAAACACAAUUGAUUAUUGGUUUUUCACGGGUCCUUUCGUGGGUCCGUUUUUCACGUGUCGUCUUCUGAUUUGCCGGUCAUAUAUGGUAUAAACAAGGUCAAUGAAAUUCAAUAUAAAAUUAAGGCAAAAUUGUAACAAUGGUCCCUGGACUAAGACCAAACUUUACUUUUCAUCCCUCAUAUUGCUAAAUUAUUACGGUGAUACUUUAAUUAUGCCUCCACUUUCAGAAAUCGUCAUUUCCGUCAUCUUAGUCAACUUUUGAGUUAUUUCUUUCAUGUGUUGGAUUGAACAGAGACAGCCAUAUCAGCAUCUCAUAUGAUUUUAAUCCAGAUUUGUCUUUUUAAAUUGGAUUUUAAGGUCUGUUGGAUUUGGGGUAUGUUGGAGGAUUUGCCUUUUCAAAAUCCAUAUUUGUUCUCAUGUUUUCGUUUUCUUUAUUUUAUUGUUUGGUUUCCUUUUCAAUUCCCCUUUCAAGAUCUCAUGUGUUAGUAGAUGGGUGUGGGGGAGAGAAAGUAGGCAUUAGAUCCAAAACCCUCCAGAUAAACCCCGACUUGAUGGAAAAGAAUAAGGAAAAGGAAAUUGGCAUGGAAGAAAUCUGGGUGGAUUGAGAGAGAGAAGAUAUUUUUUUUAAAAAAAAAAAUUUGUGUGAGAAGAUAUUUUUGCCCAUGCCAAGUAGGACUUGUCCAUGCCACGUCAUCAUUUUUAACGGAAAAAGUGACUGAGAUGACGAAGAAGACGAUUCCUGAAAGAGAAGGCAUAAUUAAAGUACUACCAUAACAAUUUAGCAAUAUGAGUGACGAAAAGUAAAGUUUAUUUUUAAUCUAGGGACCAUUGCUACAAUUUAACCUGAAAUUAAAAACUUCAUAAAAGUCUAGCACUUAAUUUAAUUCUCCAAAAGUUAUCAUUUUUGCUUUGAAAAGUUUAUGAAGGCCUGCAUAGUUCCGCACAAGAGUACCACUUAAGUAAGCUCCACAAGAACUUAUAUAUCUAAAUCCACUAUAUUUCUUGCCAGUUUGGAAUAAUUUUGAAAGGACUAAAAGUGUUUUCUUACAACUAAUAGCGCUUCUAACAAAGUUUGUUAGAAAAUUUUAGAACUGUUUUUGAGUCAUAGAAGCGCUUUCUAGCACUCCUACAUAAAUUUCUCAUGAAAAUGUCAACAUCUAUAUAAUAAAAGCGUUUUUUAUAAAAGUUCUUCCUAAAAAUAUAGUCCAAAACGAGAUAGUUUAGAGCGGUGGAUGAUAAUGGUCAAGAAAUAUACACAUUUUUAACGUAGAAGCACCAACAUGAAAAGGAAAAAAAAAAAAAAAGACCACACAUGUUAGGAGGUACAAGACAAGGAUGAUGUGAAGGCAUCAUGCGGAGACAAGGAGCAAUUGCAACAUCUUUCAAGUAUUAAAUUGUUGCCAUACUUUUCUUAGCAAUGGUUUUUUUUGCUUACCAAAAAGAUGCAAACAAAAAAAGGAAAAAAAAAAAGAAGCUCCUAUUAAAUUACUUUUCUGUUGAAAAUGUUAUUAAUUUUAUAGAAAACAAAAUUCAUUAGUGUUAGAGUGUCGAAAUUGGAUCCUUCAUUUUACACAAUACUCUCUUACUCAUUGAAACUCAUUUUCCGUUUUGACAAAUUACUUUCGAAACUCAUGAAAGUUCGAAAAAAUUGUGUUUCAUGAACCACAUGUAGUCAUGAGGCUAUUAUUUUUUCAAUAGGACCCUCAUCUAAAUUAAAGAAAAAAGUAAACUCCACAAAAAUUUUGUGUAAAUCUAAAUUGAUUACUACUCAUAGUUUGAAGCCAUAGAUAACAAACAUAUUUGGAGGAACACACUACAAGGAUUGAUGUAAAAUCAUCAAAUGGAGACAAGGAGCAAUUCCCAACAUAUCUUUCAAGUAUUAAAUUGUUGUCAUACUAUUUUUAGCAAAUUUCUUUUUCUUCUCACUAAAACAAUGCAAAGAAAAUAAAAUAAGUGGAGUUAUUGGCGUGUGGUUAAUUUGACACUUGAUACGGUCAUGUGUUUGAGAGUCCGUAUACAAAUCAUUGACACGAGAGGAAAUGGUAAAGAAGGGGUUGCGUUUCUAUUUGACCUGAUUGUCCACUUCUAAUCUAUUCCCUAAUCUUGUUCUUUUUCAUGGAAAUUAAAGUAAAAAGUUGUCUUAAUACAAGGUGUAAGAUGUAAGUUACAAAAAUAGCUAUAUUAGUUAAAAGGACAAAAUAGUAAAAUAAGAGACUCAUUGUCCUUUUCUCCCUUCCCUAGCUGACACCAUUACUCAUUGUCCAUUCCUCCACCAUUCCACCAAAAUUUCAUUAGAAUUUGUGCUUUGAAACUUUAUAUCUUCAUCAUGCAUAUAUAUAUAUAUAUAUAUAUAUAUAUAUAUACAUUCACCAAAAUGGAAAUACCACUAAACCACAACAUCAUUGCUUCUGUGCUUAGUUUAAUGAGUUGUAACCUCAAUGAGUUUGGUUGGGUUUCCUCUUGAAAAAGAUGACAACACAUAUGUUUAAGCAAGUAAUCAUUUGUUCUAAAAUGUACCCAUAACACCAUUUAAAUCCUUUUAUAAGAUAUGAAAAACUGUCUAUAAGAGGGAUAUAGAAAGCUAAACAAAGAAAGAACAACUCAACAAGUUACGUGAAACUGAAAAUGAGAUGAGAAAAACUUGAUUUGCAACGGAGAUAAUACUGUUUUGUUAUCACUUAUGUCACAACGUUAUUAGACAGAAUUAGCAAAAUAGUGAUAUUCUUAUUUUAUUGAAGUCUUUCUCCUCAACGGAGCUCAAGUCCAAUUUAGAGGAAGAGAAAGAGGAGAAAGAAAGAAACUUAAGAAAGCUACAAGAUUAUAAUAAUCUUCCAGCUUCUCUAAUUAGUGGGCCUAUAGUUGUUGAAGUCCUUGAAACCAUUUCCUCAAACUCAGUGAGCUGGGUUGGUAUUAUGCUGUUUAAAUAUGGGACCUCAAAAAUCCAACUGAUCGGAGUCAAAGGGAGAAGAAAGAAGCAGUAAGAGGAAAGCUUUCUAUACAUUUUUUUCCCUCAAGUUCACUGCUGUUCACUAUUCAGAACAGCAACAACUAAUACCAAUAUUUUUUCUUUCUUUUAUAUUUCUUAACAUAAAAUCUGGUGCGGGAAAAAACAAAUAAACCUCUAAUUUACUUGUCCACCAAAAAAAAAAAAGACAAGCAUAUGAACUUCCAAAUUCCUCUGCUGAGCCUCAUAUACUGAAAAGAAAAGAAAUAAAAAUUGAAAAAGGAAAAGCCUCCUGCAUUUUAUUCCACAACAUUUGGCUGACACGGUUUUCAGAGCGCCUGGUCCAUCUACACAUGGUAGAGUUGGGAUUGCUUCUUUAAAAUAAAUAAUAAAAAAUUCAAAGAGUUACGGAUAAAAGUUAGAAAAGUUGGUCAUAGGAAUUUGUGAUUUGUUAUCUAGCAAACCGAAUAAAUUACAAUUUUCUUUAUAAAUGAUUUCAAUUACACAUUUAUAAAUAAAAAACUUUUGUUAAAGUUUGUUGAUGCACAAAAAUACUUGGAUAAUUUUGGGCUCAAUUUAGUGAUGAUGUUACUUUCAGUUUCGUGUGAGUUUCGGUAGAGUGAUCAAUCUGCAAGACAAAGAAUGCUCAAUAAACCCUUUGAUACUGGUGUGGUACCAGCUGAAGGCUUUCCAAUACUUAAAUUAGAAUAAGUAUGUUAUGAAUAGUGAUCUAGACAGAUUAAUGACAGUAUUGUCGAAUGUCGCAGUUACCUCCUUUUGGGACUUGUGCCCUUUCUUAUAAACUUCAGGAGGCUUGCAUCUUGAGUGGAAAUUUCAAGGUGGGACUCUGGACAUCACCUAAGGAGGCGCCAUGUGUACCUGUGAAGAAUUCAUAACCAAGUGUUUCUUCUGUUACAAUUGAUAGUUCAAAGUGCCGAAGGCUCACGCACUGCCGAUGGUGCUUUGAGAAACACAAUUGAUUAUUGGUUUUUCACGGGUCCUUUCGUGGGUCCGUUUUCCACGUGUCGUCUUCUGAUUUGCCGGUCAUAUAUGGUAUAAACAAGGUCAAUGAAAUUCAAUAUAAAAUUAAGGCAAAAUUGUAACAAUGGUCCCUGGACUAAGACCAAACUUUAC